ACUUGGUGAAACGGGUGAAACACCGGCAGCGGUUGUCACGGCCAGCGGGCUGGCCUGACCGAGGAGAAGGGACCCGGGGAAGGCCGGGGACGAUGCGGAGCCUCCUCCCGGCACGCCCCCAGCGCCAAGGCCGGGACUUCUGUCCAUGUCCAUCGACAAGGGCUCGCGGAGGCGGUGGGUGCGUGCAGCGGUGGGUCAAGCCUCAUGACCUUUCGACAUUUACAUACACCCACAAUCCUCCAACUUGCGAUUUGCAUUUGGAUGAGGGGCUGACCUAGUUUCUAAGGACAUGCGCAUACACCUGCUGGGACGUGCCCCGCCCAUCAUCACAGGAAGGGUCAGUUUACAACCGCGUGGCUCGGAGGGACAGUCCAUAACACGCCUUCCAUACAGGGACAGCCACGCGGACUGGUCACAGUACACAGCCGUCCUUCACACUCUAACCGACCGUCCGUCAGCUGAAGACCACCCCUGUUAGCAAAGUGGUGAUCAAACAGCAUUCAAAGAAUGACAUUUAUAGACAAUACCGCUGCAAGCUAGCUUACAUGCACGUAGGACGUUAUAUAAUGUUAUUGGCAUGGCCAUUAGAGGUCUAUUACAUCAUGAUAAAAGAAAAGAUGAUGUGAAGAUUCGAAGCAUGUUAAAAAUGAUAACAGCUGAGAAACCAGUUGGGCCAAACAUGUACAAUACAAAAAAGACCACAAUUUCAUUUUGCAAUUUUCACCGCUUAUACAAAUGCUUGCAUUGUACGUGCGCAAUUCUAUCCGCCAUAUACAAUAUAUGGACCGCAUGUUAUUUGAUAUACGUUAUGAAAUUAGGUGGCGGCGCACGCUCAGUUUCAUAUAUCCGCCAUAAGCUUAAUAGAGACAUUUAUUGUGAUCAUAUCUUCGAGGUUUGUUUCUGUUGAAAUUGCCUAUUGGCAUCUUCUGAUAGUUUGAUAGUUUGUUUGUUUUGAAACCUUAGCGACAACAUUUCUUAUUCAAUGGAUAUUAAUGUGGUAUCUAUUACAUUUGGCGUCGUCGUCCCAUUAACGUAGUACGUCUUUCUUAUUUUUGUAUAUGUCACACCUGUUUGAUUCCAUGUUUUGAACCAAAAAGCUUCAACAUUCAUAACUAUCCAAUGAAAAAUAGGAGCCUAACGUUAAGAUAGCUGUAAAAUCGUUUGUCAUUGGUUACGAAUAUAACGUUAUGGUAGAUAUGUACGUACAUGUGCUUUUGUCGGGUUGUCAGCACUUAUUUCUAUACGUCAUUUUCUUAAACCUGCACAUAAUAUCUCAAUAUAUACUAGUAUUACCGAAUGACCAAAGUAGCAACACGAGUUGAAACAUCACAAUCUAGCUGCAAAAUUACUUUUAAGACAAUAUAGUUGUCCAACAUGGAAUAAGGAAAUAUCUUUUUUAUUUUGAACACAAUCCCUUUCUUAACUAUUUGUUUGUUUUCUUGUUUGCUUCUUGUUGUUGUAAACAACACUGUCGUCACCAGCUUUAUCCUAUAUAUGUGCCUGCACAAAAUUGAUAUGU
This is a long non-coding RNA of Branchiostoma floridae (Florida lancelet), 1519 nucleotides long. RefSeq lists it as uncharacterized. The transcript is spliced from 2 exons. NCBI's taxonomy places the organism in Eukaryota, Metazoa, Chordata, Leptocardii, Amphioxiformes, Branchiostomatidae. The record is from RefSeq and is a predicted model, not a curated record.